This is a long non-coding RNA of Oncorhynchus keta (chum salmon), 649 nucleotides long. RefSeq lists it as uncharacterized. The transcript is spliced from 4 exons. Lineage: Eukaryota; Metazoa; Chordata; Actinopteri; Salmoniformes; Salmonidae. The record is from RefSeq and is a predicted model, not a curated record.
UCCAGGAGUGAUAGGAGUUUACAGUAAGGUGUUGUGUUAUCCAGGAGUGAUAGGAGUUUACAGUAAGGUGUUGUGUUAUCCAGGAGUGAUAGGAGUUUACAGUAAGGUGUUGUGUUAUCCAGGAGUGAUAGGAGUUUACAGUAAGGUGUUGUGUUAUCCAGGAGUGAUAGGAGUUUACAGUAAGGUGUUGUGUUAUCCAGGAGUGAUAGGAGUUUACAGUAAGGUGUUGUAUUAUCCAGGAGUGAUAGGAGUUUACAGUAAGGUGUUGUGUUAUCCAGGAGUGAUAGGAGUUUACAGUAAGGUGUUGUGUUAUCCAGGAGUGAUAGGAGUUUACAGUAAGGUGUUGUGUUAUCCAGGAGUGAUAGGAGUUUACAGUAAGGUGUUGUGUUAUCCAGGAGUGAUAGGAGUUUACAGUAAGGUGUUGUGUUAUCCAGGAGUGAUAGGAGUUUACAGUAAGGUGUUGUGUUAUCCAGGAGUGAUAGGAGUUUACAGUAAGGUGUUGUGUUAUCCAGGAGUGAUAGGAGUUUACAGUAAGGUGUUGUGUUAUCCAGGAGUGAUAGGAGUUUACAGUAAGGUGUUGUGUUAUCCAGGAGUGAUAGGAGUUUACAGUAAGGUGUUGUGUUAUCCAGGAGCGAUAGGAGUUUACAGU